GGAGGGUGCGAGCGUUAAUCGGACUUACUGGGCGUAAAGGGCGCGUAGGUGGUUAGAUAAGUUUGAUGUGAAAUAUCAGGGGCUUAACCCUGAGGAGUCAUCGAAAACUGUUUGACUAGAGUACAAGAGAGGUCAGCGGAAUUUCCGGUGUAGCGGUGAAAUGCGUAGAUAUCGGAAGGAACACCAGUGGCGAAGGCGGCUGGCUGGCUUGAUACUGACACUGAGGCACGAAAGCGUGGGUAGCAAACAGGAUUAGAUACCCUGGUAGUCCACGCCGUAAACGAUGAGUACUAGCCGUUGGCUUUUUCGGAAGCAAGUGGCGCAGCAAACGCAUUAAGUACUCCGCCUGGGGAUUACGGCCGCAAAGGCUAA
This 372-nucleotide ribosomal RNA is filed under the name uncultured organism. RNAcentral describes it as "partial 16S ribosomal RNA". It matches the Rfam family "Bacterial small subunit ribosomal RNA", at positions 527 to 897 of the family's 1533-position model. The record is from RNAcentral.